This 1344-nucleotide ribosomal RNA is filed under the name Catharanthus roseus (Madagascar periwinkle). RNAcentral's name for it is "bacterial SSU rRNA". It matches the Rfam family "Bacterial small subunit ribosomal RNA". Lineage: Eukaryota; Viridiplantae; Streptophyta; Magnoliopsida; Gentianales; Apocynaceae. The record is from RNAcentral.
AGAGUUCGAUCCUAGCUCAGGAUAAAUGCUGGCAGCAUGCUUAACACAUGUAAGUCAGACAGGAAUAUAGGUGAGUAACGGGCAACAACCUGCCCUUGGACGGGGAAUAAUCACUGGAAACGGGUACUAAUACCCUAUAGGCUAAGGAACAAAAGAAGGAAUCUGCCUAAGGAGGGGCUCAUGUAUGAUUAGCUAGUUUGUGAGGAAUAGCCUAUGAAGGUGAUAGUCAAUAGGUAGUCCGAGAGGAUAGUCAGCAGCACUAGGACUGAGACACAGCCUAGACUCCUAUGGGAGGCAGCAGUGGGAAAUUUCCUAAAAUGGGCUAAAUCCUAAUGGAGCAAUGUUGCGUGGAAGUAGACGGCCCACGGGUUGUGAACUUCUUUUCCUGGAGAAGAAACAAUGAUAGUAUUUGGAGAAUAAGCAUGAGCUCUCUGUGCCAGCAACCACAGUAAUACAGAGGAUGCAAGUGGUAUUCGGAAUGAUUGAGUGUAAAGCGUCUAUAGUUUGCCUUUUAAGUCCACCGUCAAAUUCCAAGACUCAACCCUAGACAAGCGGUGGAAACUACGAAACUAGAGUACAGUAGGGGCAGAGAGAAUUUCCGGGAGAGCAAUGAAAUGCGUAGAGUUCAGAAAAGAACACCAACAGCAAAAAAAACUUUGUUGGGCCGACAUUGAUACUGAGAGAUGAAAUAUAGGGGAGCAAAUGGGAUUAGAUACCCCAAUAGUCCUAGCCGUAAAUUAUGGAUACUAAGCGAUAUGUGUAUCGAUCAGUGUAGUACUGUAGCUAACGCAUUAUCCCGCCUAGGGAGUACGUCCCCAAGAAUAAAACUCAAAGGAAUUGCAGGAGCCCGUACAAGCAAUGGAACAUAUAGUUUAAUUUGAUGCAAAGCGAAAAACCUUACUAAAGCUUGACAUGCCGCGAACCCUCUUGAAAGAGAGAGGUGCCUUUAGGAACAAGGACACAGGCAUUGCAUGGCUGUUGUCAGCACGUGCCAUAAAGUGUUGGCUAAAGUCACGCAACGAGCGCAACCCUCGUGUUUAGUUGCCAUGUUGAGUUUGGAACCCUGAACAGACUGUCAGUGAUAAGCGGGAGGAAGGUGAGGAUGAUGUCAAGUCAUCCUGCCCCUUAUGCCCUACGCGACACACAUGCUAUAAUGGUCGGGACAAAGGAUCGCGAUCUCACAAGGAUAAGUGAUGUUUAAAAUCAGACUACUCUAAAAUAACACAUAACAAGUAAGUGAAUCUAUCAAUGUAGUAUUAGAAAACCUCCCGGGUUGUCGAAGUUAGAGAACGGAGAAGCUAUAAUAAUGACCAUCUGUGUAAGUUUUAAUCAAAAUAAAUAGCC